GAAGUAAAAGUCGUAACAAGGUCUCCGUUGGUGAACCAGCGGAGGGAUCAUUACAGAGUUGCAAAACUCCCACAAACCAUCGCGAAUCUUACCCGUACGGUUGCCUCGGCGCUGGCGGUCCGGAAAGGCCCUCGGGCCCCCGGAUCCUCGGGUCUCCCGCUCGCGGGAGGCUGCCCGCCGGAGUGCCGAAACCAAACUCUUGAUAUUUUAUGUCUCUCUGAGUAAACUUUUAAAUAAGUCAAAACUUUCAACAACGGAUCUCUUGGUUCUGGCAUCGAUGAAGAACGCAGCGAAAUGCGAUAAGUAAUGUGAAUUGCAGAAUUCAGUGAAUCAUCGAAUCUUUGAACGCACAUUGCGCUCGCCAGUAUUCUGGCGAGCAUGCCUGUUCGAGCGUCAUUUCAACCAUCAAGCUCUGCUUGCGUUGGGGAUCCGCGUCUGACGCGGUCCCUCAAAAACAGUGGCGGGCUCGCUAGUCACACCGAGCGUAGUAACUCUACAUCGCUAUGGUCGUGCGGCGGGUUCUUGCCGUAAAACCCCCAAUUUCUAAGGUUGACCUCGGAUCAGGUAGGAAUACCCGCUGAAC
RNAcentral lists this ribosomal RNA (583 nucleotides) under Neurospora sp. RNAcentral describes it as "eukaryotic LSU rRNA". The stretch from base 243 to 396 matches the Rfam family "5.8S ribosomal RNA". The record is from RNAcentral. Lineage: Eukaryota; Fungi; Ascomycota; Sordariomycetes; Sordariales; Sordariaceae.